AGGUGUAAACGGCUGUCAUUACUAAUACUACUACACCAGUGAGUAAUUUAGGGUGUGGCAGGACAGAAAUGAGUCUUUCAAAAGUUAUGCUGCUCCAAUAAAUUUUGUGCUCAAAGCAACAUAAUGCGGCAGGCUUCUACUUAGUGCAGAAUUUUGUUGGUAAGGGAGGCUUAUUUUUAAUAGAGCCAACUGAAGCGGUAUUUUAUUUAUUUUUGGCACAUUGCAUUAUUUUAAUUUUAUUUGUAAUAGAUUACAGUACUAACUUUCAAAUUAAAGAAAUGAAUGCUUUUUUUUAUUAGUAUAGAGAUUAACUUUUCACCUUUCUUUUGGAUGAUAAUUAAUCUUUCACCUUAUUACACCAUUUACAAGUCUCCUUUCUUCUUUGACAAAAAUAAUUUAACUAAGGCCCCAUUUGUUAGAUGUGAAGUGAAGUAAUAUUUGAC
Telopea speciosissima is the source of this 443-nucleotide long non-coding RNA. RefSeq lists it as uncharacterized. The transcript has 2 exons. The record is from RefSeq and is a predicted model, not a curated record. NCBI's taxonomy places the organism in Eukaryota, Viridiplantae, Streptophyta, Magnoliopsida, Proteales, Proteaceae.